AAGCAUCGUCAGUAACAAGAAUUCCUUCAAACAGUUUUUCUUCGCGCAAAAAAAAUCUGAAAUAAUAGGAAUUGCUUCUUUGAAACUUCUCGGUAGUUCUAUAUUUGUAAUCCCCUAAGAAGGCCGCUUUUACAGGUAGUGAUUGAAAAAAAACCGUGUAAUCUAUUUACUCAGGGACAAUAUUAGAGGGGAAAAAAAAUCUCCGACGAGGAUUUGCUAUCCGUUUACACUUAUGCUUUAUUAUAUUAAUUACUGAAUGCAAAUGUGAGGACUUGACAUCUUUGUAUAGAACAUAAAGGAAAUUAUAUAAGUAAAGGAACUGAUAGCUGUUUAUAUUUUCCCUAUCAUUUCGAGAUUGUUCGGGACCCUUUUUAUUUGCCCAUUUAAGAUGGACCUCUACCUUUUGACGUAUUGAAUAGUGUAACAGCUUAUACCCCAGCAUACCGUUUAAUAAACUUUUCUUUCGCUUAGUACAUAAAUUUGUACACGUACACGAGAUUUAAAAGAAAACCCUCAGUAAACACAACCAUUUGAAACCGACUGAAAACUUCCUCGUUUAAUUUUUAAUAUUUGGGAACAGAUGGUUAUAAAGAAGUUUACAGGAGCUAAAGCGGCCAGGCGGGGUUAUUAAGCGUUAGUCCCUUAUGCGCUAUUACUGUUAAUAUUCCAUAAUACUUUAAUACUUUAUUAUUUAAACUCAAUUAAUAUAGUAACGCUGGCCAAUGCAGCUCCCUUAAUUAAAAAAUAGUCUUAACUCAAAAUCCCAGUUGAUUUUGCUUAAAAUACAAAGCAGAACUCUUCAGCGUGGCUGUAGCCAAAGGAAAACUAUUCUAACUAGCAACGGUGUUACAUUCGCAA
Molecule: long non-coding RNA, 858 nt
Organism: Zophobas morio
Lineage: Eukaryota; Metazoa; Arthropoda; Insecta; Coleoptera; Tenebrionidae
Exons: 5
Source: RefSeq, a predicted model, not a curated record